UUUAAAUAUCCAAAAUGGAAUAUCACAUUUGUUUUAAUCAAAAAGCACUAAUGUAUCUUGCAAUUUUAUCAAUUCACAGUCAGAAUUUCUCCACUGUGGAAAACAUUUCAGCAGUGGAAGCAUCAUCUCAGGAAAACAUGUCAACAGGUGAAUAUUCAAUUUGGUAAUUGUAAAAUGUAUGUGAUAAUUGAAAAAAUUUAUAUAAGCAUGGUUGUAAUUAUAAUACCUCAUUGUAAAUGUAAAAUGUAUCUUUUCUCCAGAUGUCUCAAAACAUGGGGAGAAAAUGGACAUGAAGGCCAAGCUGAUCUCUGAUGGUCAGUCAGGGAAGUCAGAGGAAGACGGGCAGAAAUUAUUGGCCGAGAACCGACGGAACUGCAAUCGGAGAAAUCGCAGAAGAGCUGCACGGCUGGCUCGGGUGAGGGACCUCUUUGCCCAAAGAGGUGGAGGGGCGAAUGGCACUGAAAGAGAUGAAUCGCCUCCAGAAGCAAAUCGGGCACCUCAAGAAGAAACUGUAAAGGAGAAGCAGUCAGAUAUGCAAUCAUUUUCUGAGGCUAUUAGCAAAUCAGAAGCUUUUCCACUUGUUUCUGAAUCAUGCAGGGAACCCAUCUGUGAUGUUCCAAAUGAUACGUCACCAGCACAUGACUUCACAUCUAACAGUGAGCCAGGGAAAUCUGAGAGCAUCAAUGUGGCUGACUCAGCCACAUUAACAGGAGGUGAGAGUGUCACAGAUAUCCCAGACAACAGCUUGCACUCAAAUGAUGAUCCUGCUGCUGCAGAGCACCAACGUAUCAACAAGUCUGUCUCAAAAGCUGAGAAAAGCAGUCAGAAGCAAGGCACAAGUCACGAUUGUACAUCCAACACUGCAGCUGAACCAGCUGACAGUCUUAUUUCAGCACUGAGCACUGAGAGUCUUGUUAGCAAGAGCAGCAGCUUCACAUUUGGAACCGUGGUGGCUCCGCUGUAUCAUCAGGUGUCUGGCAAAGUGGGAAGUGAAAGUCAGAGCGUAGGUGAUUGGGGGAAUCCGGUCCAGGCUACACUGAAUGUUGGAGACUUAACUCAUGCUGAAAGAAGAGACACCAGCUGCACUGUUCAAACAAGUGCUCACAGAGUUCAAGUACAUGUGGUUAAGACUGAAGAAUCAAAGCAAGAAUCCUUAGAUGCCACUCUGAAGAAUCCUCCUGCUGAAGAAGAUGAAAAAAGUUUGAGUAUGACAGCAAAUGACGCCCGGAACCAUGCAGAAACUCAAAAAAAACAUUCAGGAGACACAGUAAUAAGUCCACACACUGUGAACACUUUAAAUGCAGAACUGUCAAAUCCACAAAAACCCACAGAGAGUUUACAUCUCCAGGGAGAAGCACAGGAAGACAAUUCAACCCAUGACCUCCGAAGCCAAACCACAGCAGAAACAGCACAGGCUCAACUGUUGGAGCAUAUGUGUACACAAACUACUACUAAAACCACAACUAAAACUAAUCCAGAUGACAGUUGUGCACAAAGUGAAACAGAGGAUUUCAUGGCCAGUCCAGAAACCUCAUUUAUACCACUCAACAGCUAUGAGUGUGUGGAUGAGUCCAACAAAGACAUAACAAAUGAAAUUUGCAGCACAAUAAUUGAAUCAACAAACAACGGCAUGUCAGAGGAGGAUAAACUAUUGGAAGCUUUACAUGAAUUGAGUCCUAAACACAUCAAUAAUUCAUGUACUAAAGAAACUGAGAGUAGCUAUGUUUCUUGUUUUGAAAUUUUGGAGGAAACAGAUGUCACACCUCAGAUGUCUCUUGAAAAUCACAAAGAAACUAAUGAUGUGGAAGAAGAAAAUGAAGAGGAGAUGAAGAGUAACUAUCACAGGGGCGCUGACACGUUGGUGCAGCUCAAAGAUGAAGACACUUUAAAAGAUAAAGAAAUGAUUGUUUCAGAAGAAAUGGAGGCUGCUGUCUUAAAACAGGAGGAUAUUUGUUUAGCAGACACUGCUGAGGUAAAAAACUGGGAAAUGAUGGUUGAAGAAGAGGAGACGAACAUAUUAACUGAUGAAGAGGAGAGUGUGGCAAUAAGUUCAAAGGCAGAGGAUGCUGAAAAGGUGGAUAAAGACCGAGGACAACAGCUGGAUGACACAGGGAAAGAGACAGCAUUAGAAAAUAGAGAUAUAACAGAGACAGACAACAAGAAAAAAGAGGCAAUGGUGAUGAAGAUUACAGGUGCAAGGGCAAAAGAGAACAAGGCUGAAGAUGCAGAUGCUUCAGGGGACAAACAUUGGAUUGGAGAGGAACGGAUUGUGGAGAUUGUGACAGGGAAAGAUGACGAAGCAUUUGAGAAGGAAUUAAAAUAUGUUCAAGCCAAAAUGACAGCUGGAGAGGAAGAGCUAGCCGAGGAGACUGAGUUAGACAAAAGAGAGGAACAAGACAAUGCAGAGUUUGAGAACGAAGAACUCUUUGCAGAGAUGGAAGAGGUCAGUAUUGAAAGGAUAAAUGUUCAAGGAGAAGAGGAGAAAGAGGGGGAAGGGGAAGUUGAUGUAGACUUGAAUGAUGAUGGUGUGGAAUGGGAGGAUCACGUUAAACCAAGAGAGGAGAAUCCAGAGUACCACGAGGACAAUCUGUUUCAUGAAAUGUCAAGGAUGGAAGAUGCAGGGUUAGAGAGCAUUACAAAAGGAGAUGGUGAAAAGAGAUUAGACGAAAUACAACAUAAGGAUGAUAAUGGUUUAUAUGCUCUGGAUUCUGUGCAGGACAAGAGAAAAAAUGACAAAGACAGUACAGGAGAAACAGGAGGGCAAAAUGCACACAUCCCAACUGAAAUGGAUUUUUGCAAAGAGGGAGCUUUUCAGAGCAACGAGAAUGUUACACAAGACCUCUUCAAAUCCAUGAGAGAUGAGAGUGAAUCUGCUGCUGCAGAGGGAGGUUCGAGCUUUUUAGCAGAUGAACCUGAAAGUGACCAAUUCGGCCACAACAGUGCAUCAGAGUCUGACUCAGACGAUGAGGUGGAGUUGUACAUGCACUGCCUGAGAGCUGUUCACACCGGAGAACAGGCCCAAAAAGAUAGGAACAAAGAAACAAGCGUCAGUGGGGGCAGAAGGCCGUCUGUCAGCAGAAACAAACUGCUGUCUUCACCCAUGCCAUCCAUCAGUGAGUCUCUGGAUGAAGAACCAAACCUCAGCUGCCUUCAGGACAAUGAUGAAGACAUGGAGACAGCAGACUUCCAACCCACUGCUGUAGCUCUGCUACCGUCAAGUGAGGAACAGGAGAGAAUCAACAGAAACGUUUCAUGGUGGAAAGAGACUUUUUCCUGCAGCAGUAUCUCAAAAACAUUGUUGUGCACCACCUUACUAGUGGUAUUUGCAGUUGUGGCCUUCCAUUAUGAUUUUCUUGCCUGUUUUGGGCUGUACCUGAUAUCAGUGAUUUGGCUUUGCCGUCAGGGUGAGAGGCAGCCAGCGAAAAACAACAGCAGGAUAGGUUGA
Molecule: long non-coding RNA, 3445 nt
Organism: Sparus aurata (gilthead seabream)
Lineage: Eukaryota; Metazoa; Chordata; Actinopteri; Spariformes; Sparidae
Source: Ensembl